RNAcentral lists this long non-coding RNA (293 nucleotides) under Nicotiana benthamiana. RNAcentral's name for it is "long non-coding RNA (NBEN_LNC038687)". Lineage: Eukaryota; Viridiplantae; Streptophyta; Magnoliopsida; Solanales; Solanaceae. The record is from RNAcentral.
UACUAUACAAUUAAAAAAAAAAAUUCAGACCCGCGAGACCCGCCAGAAUCGCCAGAACCGGAACCGCAUGGUACCUGGAACUGUCACGGGCCGGUUUCACCAUGAGAACCGACAGAAUCGGAAUCGCCAGAUCCGAAACCGUCAGAAUCGGAACGCUAGACCCAAAUAAAUUCAGAACCGAAACACAAUACAACCUUAAUGUGGAAGGAUAGUAGACAUUUCCGACAUCUAGUAAAUGCAUUGCGUCUAUAAAAGAACUGACAGCCAGCUAGAGUUCGUCAUUCUCUCUUCUG